ACGAUGCGUAGCCGACCUGAGAGGGUGAUCGGCCACACUGGGACUGAGACACGGCCCAGACUCCUACGGGAGGCAGCAGUAGGGAAUCUUCCGCAAUGGACGACAGUCUGACGGAGCAACGCCGCGUGAGUGAUGAAGGUUUUCGGAUCGUAAAGCUCUGUUGUUAGGGAAGAACAAGUGCAAGAGUAACUGCUUGCACCUUGACGGUACCUAACCAGAAAGCCACGGCUAACUACGUGCCAGCAGCCGCGGUAAUACGUACGUGGCAAGCGUUGUCCGGAAUUAUUGGGCGUAAAGGGCUCGCAGGGCGUUUCUUAAGUCUGAUGUGAAAGCCCCCGGCUCAACCGGGGAGGGUCAUUGGAAACUGGGAAACUUGAUUGCAGAAGAGGAGAGUGGAAUUCCACGUGUAGCGGUGAAAUGCGUAGAGAUGUGGAGGAACACCAGUGGCGAAGGCGACUCUCUGGUCUGUAACUGACGCUGAGGAGCGAAAGCGUGGGGAGCGAACAGGAUUAGAUACCCUGGUAGUCCACGCCGUAAACGAUGAGUGUUAAGUGUUAGGGGGUUUCCGCCCCUUAAUGCUGCAGCUAACGCAUUAAGCACUCCGCCUGGGGAGUACGGUAACAAGACUGAAACUCAAAGGAAUUGACGGGGGCCCGCGGAAUCUAUGUGUGCUUGUGAUUUCAUAUCAACACCACCCGAAGAACCUCAACCGGUCCUUAUCAUCCACUACCAUCGCGAUAGGUAUUCCUUUCCCAGUCCGAGAGAGAUAAGUGAUAGGC
Molecule: ribosomal RNA, 779 nt
Filed under: Bacillus sp. (in: firmicutes)
Lineage: Bacteria; Bacillati; Bacillota; Bacilli; Caryophanales; Bacillaceae
Description: bacterial SSU rRNA
Rfam family: Bacterial small subunit ribosomal RNA
Source: RNAcentral